GUCCUGGCAGUAAACGGUGCACGUUUGGUGUGGGAGGAUUCGACCCCUUCCGUGCCGGAGCUAACGCGUUAAACGUGCCGCCUGGGAAGUACGGUCGCAAGAUUAAAACUCAAAGAAAUUGACGGGGCCCGCACAAGCGGUGGAGUAUGUGGCUUAAAUUCGAUGCAACGCGAAGAACCUUACCAGGGUUUGACAUGCAUUGUGUCGGCGAUGAAAGUCGCCUAAGCCGGGUUAAAACCGGCGCUUUGCACAGGUGCUGCAUGGCUGUCGU
Molecule: ribosomal RNA, 271 nt
Filed under: uncultured bacterium
Lineage: Bacteria
Description: partial 16S ribosomal RNA
Rfam family: Bacterial small subunit ribosomal RNA
Source: RNAcentral